GAGUGUCUUCUGGACAUCUGAGCUGCUAAGUCUCACUUUACUCCGCACCUAUAAGCUACAUUCUGGGUAAAGUCUCACUGUCUUCUGGGUUGGGCGGGGGGCACAGCAUCAGCCUGCUGGCUCAGCUUCUCCAGAACCUGAAUCCAGGUUCUCCCGGGGGAAGCCUUGGAAUCCCAUCCAGACACGUGGCAGCACAGCAAAACAACAGUCCAGGCAUUGAUUCACAAGCUGCGUGGUCUCGUAUGGAGAACACACAGUCCCACACUGGCACCUGCCUGUCAGUCUAGGUGGCUCUGGAGAGGCUUUGGCACGGCUGCCCCACGCAAAGGACAAGUUCCCAGGGUCUGCCACCCCAGGAGCCGCGUCUGCAAAGGAACCCGCCAGGGCACUCCAGCCCAGCGAAAUCCAGCUUUGUGGUCUGGAAACCUCCAGAACAGGCUCUCGAAACAUAUGGUGUUAUUUUCACGGCACUUGACAUUCUUCUAGGAUAGUUCAAAUGGUACAUUCAUGUUCCCAAAAUUAUGUCACUGCUUUCUGCAUUUAAUGGCUAUAGUUAAUCAUCGCUCACAGCUCUCCCCUGUUCCUCUUUCCCUGCGAGAGCACCACGAGACGCCUCCAGCUGUGCAUACUUCACCCAGAGCUGCCUUGCAUGCUUUCUUUGCUCCCACUCUCGUGUCGUCCCACAGGGCUUGGGACUCAUGAAAAAACAUGCAGUGGGGGGGGGCACGCAAGCCCUGCUCCUGCCAGGCAAUGCAUUUCCCCAUGCUGAUCUCCAAAGCAUGUCGGAGCCGUGCAUCUAUCAGCAUGCCUCGCCUCAUGCUGGGCUAAGGGCCACCAGCGGUCAAGAAGAAGAUUCAGCGUGUUGGUUUUGUUCCAUAAAUACUUAUUAACAGAAGCACCCAGCAGAAUGAGGGAAGAACAUUAAUAUCCAGGAACAAGUCCAUGUUGCAAUGAAACAGCAGCAACAGAAACAAAGGCUAUACACUGUUUUGUCCUUAAACCAAGCAAUCA
Molecule: long non-coding RNA, 1011 nt
Organism: Cygnus olor (mute swan)
Lineage: Eukaryota; Metazoa; Chordata; Aves; Anseriformes; Anatidae
Exons: 3
Source: RefSeq, a predicted model, not a curated record